This 633-nucleotide ribosomal RNA is filed under the name uncultured bacterium. RNAcentral's name for it is "bacterial SSU rRNA". It matches the Rfam family "Bacterial small subunit ribosomal RNA", at positions 97 to 726 of the family's 1533-position model. The record is from RNAcentral.
GGCGGACGGGUGAGUAACGCAUAGGAAUCUGCCCGUUAGUGGGGGAUAACCUGGGGAAACCCAGGCUAAUACCGCAUACGUCCUACGGGAGAAAGCAGGGGACCUUCGGGCCUUGCGCUAUCGGAUGAGCCUAUGUCGGAUUAGCUGGUUGGUGAGGUAACGGCUCACCAAGGCGACGAUCCCUAGCUGGUCUGAGAGGACGAUCAGCCACACUGGGACUGAGACACGGCCCAGACUCCUACGGGAGGCAGCAGUGGGGAAUCUUGCGCAAUGCGCGAAAGCGUGACGCAGCAACGCCGCGUGGGGGAAGAAGGCCUUCGGGUUGUAAACCUCUUUCAGUUGGGACGAAGCUUUGGCGGUGAAUAGCCGACCUGAGUGACGGUACCUUCAGAAGAAGCCCCGGCUAACUACGUGCCAGCAGCCGCGGUAAUACGUAGGGGGCAAGCGUUGUCCGGAAUCAUUGGGCGUAAAGCGCGUGUAGGCGGCUCGGUAAGUCUGUUCUGAAAGUCCAGGGCUCAACCCUGGGAUGCGGAUGGAUACUGCCGAGCUCGAGUCCGGAAGAGGCGAGUGGAAUUCCUGGUGUAGCGGUGAAAUGCGCAGAUAUCAGGAGGAACACCAAUGGCGAAGGCAGCU